GCGGCCGCAGGUAGCUGAGCUGGAGCUAGCACAAGCCUGCAAUGUGAACACGAUGGCUGGAGCUCCGGCAGCCAUUCUGGACCAGGAGGUAGCCUUGAAGAUGGAAGCCACAUGUUGGGAUGGUGAAUCCAAAAGAUGAGGAGCCUGUAUCCCCUGUGACACCAGAACUGCCAUACCAGCCCUGGGUUCCUCCAUCUAUACUGCCUUCAUAUGGUAAAGAAAUAUUCUUGGAUCUUGUUAGGUGUCUGUUGCAGCCAAACACAAUCCCAACUGAUAUUCACUGUAAAUGAUUCCAUGGCUCCCUGUAGUACUUCUACAAAGCAUCUAUCACAAUUGUAAUUAAUAAAAUAAUUAUGCAAUUACUGGUUUAAUGCCUAAAAAAAAAAAAAAAAA
RNAcentral lists this long non-coding RNA (393 nucleotides) under Homo sapiens (human). RNAcentral describes it as "RCAN3 antisense RNA, transcript variant 4 (RCAN3AS)". The record is from RNAcentral. Lineage: Eukaryota; Metazoa; Chordata; Mammalia; Primates; Hominidae.